RNAcentral lists this long non-coding RNA (955 nucleotides) under Parus major (Great Tit). Its description in RNAcentral is "lncRNA (ENSPMJG00000013168.1)". The record is from RNAcentral. Lineage: Eukaryota; Metazoa; Chordata; Aves; Passeriformes; Paridae.
CCAGAUUGGAAAGGAUGUCAAGAAGUCUCUAAUAUAAUUUUGCUUCAAAGGAAGGAUACCUCUGGAAUCUCUGCCUGAGGUUUUCUCAUCGUCCACGGGGCCAAGGGGAAAACCAUCUUUUUCCUCACCUCUCUGUACUCACUUCUGGUUGCUCCAGGUCUCCCUUGGCAGUAUUAAUGAUGCACACAUGGAUGAGCAAAAGUCUGAAGGCCACAGGAGACUCAUCAUCCUCUAUGCAACAUUCUGUAUCCAAGCUCCAUCAAAGAACUAAUCUCCUGUGGCAGCAGUUCUGGUUGGCAGGUAAAGCAGAUGCUUCCUUCAUUCCUAUAUUAGAAACAUGCCAAGGAAAAUCUAAUAGCUGCUUCUUAUGUUCCUCAAGAUAAUGACACCAAUAUAGUAAAACUCAAGAAACAUUGUUACUGUUAGUGGACCCAUGAAAAACAGAAUUGCCAUUGCUCAUGAAGCACAGCCCUUAUAUUGUCUGUGCCUAGAGUGACAGUGCAAGGCCCUAGCCCUGGCCAGCUUUUAUCACUUUACCCUGGGAACUGGCUGUGUGAGCUUGGUAAGAAGUUUCUCUUUUGAUCAUGUUCAGCUUAAUUGUGGGGUAACGGAAAAGGCUUUGUGUUGUGGUAUGUUUAUUCAAUUCUGUUAAAAUUGUUAGUAUUUCAUCUGUUUGGUAUGUUCCUGGUUCUCCCCCAUUUACUGCUUUGGUUGGUUCCAUUUGUCUGUUAUGUAAACCCCUCCCAGUUUUCCUGAAUGUUCCCCGUCAAUCACCUUUACCCUGCCCCAUCUCCCCAUCCAUCAUCGUAAACCCCACCUCUCCUUCCAGCUCCUUCCAUGUAUAUCAUCCCUUCCUUGAUAUGUUAUUGGUUGUUAUGUUAUGUUCCCGCCUUCCUUGUAUCCCCAUUGGUCCCUGACGUUGUAACCUCCUCCCCUUACCCCUCCCUCCGUGAGC